Molecule: ribosomal RNA, 522 nt
Filed under: Triticum aestivum (bread wheat)
Lineage: Eukaryota; Viridiplantae; Streptophyta; Magnoliopsida; Poales; Poaceae
Description: partial small subunit ribosomal RNA
Source: RNAcentral
AUGGCCCUCUUUGAGGAAUUCUAUGUGGGCACUAUUGACUUGCGUCGCCUAAACUACGGGAUCAUCACCCUGAUCCCCAAGGCCCCCGGAGUAUCGGAUAUUCGGCAAUUCCGUCCGAUCACGGUGAUUAAUGUGAUCUUCCGCAUUUUGGCAAAGGGGUACGCCAAUAGGGUGACCUCUUUGGCCAACCUCAUUACACAUCCGGAUCAGUCGGCCUUCAUCCAAGGGCGGUUUAUCCUUGACGGGGUCCUCGUCUUUCACGAGGUUCUUCACGAGACUCGCGCCAAAAACCUCAAGGCCGUCUUCCUGAAAAUCGACUUCCAUAAGGCCUACGACACGGUCAGUUGGCCCUUCCUUCGGGAGGUGUUGCUCCGGAAGGGAUUUGACGACCGCUGGGUCACCAGGAUCAUGCAAAUGGUCGCCUCCGGACAAACUGCGGUCAACAUCAACGGUGAGAUAGGCCCACACUCUGUGGGGUUAGACAGGGCGACCCCUUCUCUCCGUUCCUCUUCAACAUGGUAG